AUUGAACGCUGGCGGCAGGCCUAACACAUGCCAGUCGAGCGGAUGAAGGGAGCUUGCUCCUGGAUUCAGCGGCGGACGGGUGAGUAAUGCCUAGGAAUCUGCCUGGUAGUGGGGGAUAACGUCCGGAAACGGGCGCUAAUACCGCAUACGUCCUGAGGGAGAAAGUGGGGGAUCUUCGGACCUCACGCUAUCAGAUGAGCCUAGGUCGGAUUAGCUAGUUGGUGGGGUAAAGGCCUACCAAGGCGACGAUCCGUAACUGGUCUGAGAGGAUGAUCAGUCACACUGGAACUGAGACACGGUCCAGACUCCUACGGGAGGCAGAAGUGGGGAAUAUUGGACAAUGGGCGAAAGCCUGAUCCAGCCAUGCCGCGUGUGUGAAGAAGGUCUUCGGAUUGUAAAGCACUUUAAGUUGGGAGGAAGGGCAGUAAGUUAAUACCUUGCCGUUUUGACGUUACCAACAGAAUAAGCACCGGCUAACUUCGUG
This 484-nucleotide ribosomal RNA is filed under the name uncultured bacterium. Its description in RNAcentral is "partial 16S ribosomal RNA". It matches the Rfam family "Bacterial small subunit ribosomal RNA", at positions 30 to 507 of the family's 1533-position model. The record is from RNAcentral.